GAAAUGUGCUCGCUAGGAUGUCGCAUCCUAUGCAUACGUAUCUUCUCGGACUAAGAAGAAUCAGAGCACUCGUAGCUCGGCUAACGCACGCCAAACAAAACAACACAGGAAAUCGACUGCCAAUCGCUGGACUUACGUCAAACUCCACACAAAUAGGCAAACAUGGAAACCGAAUGCCAAUCGCUGGACUUACAUCAGAC
RNAcentral lists this long non-coding RNA (200 nucleotides) under Lathyrus oleraceus (garden pea). RNAcentral's name for it is "Pisum sativum (pea) long non-coding RNA (PSAT_LNC031087)". The record is from RNAcentral. Lineage: Eukaryota; Viridiplantae; Streptophyta; Magnoliopsida; Fabales; Fabaceae.